GACAGCCCUGUAAUCGAAAACCGAAGGAACCCUAGCGGGUACCCGAGUACCGCAGGACACGUGUAAUCCGGCGGGAAUCUGGGGGGACCAUCCUCCAAGGCUAAAUACUCGUAAUCGACCGAUAGUGAACCAGUACCGUGAGGGAAAGGCGAAAAGAACCCCGGGAGGGGAGUGAAAUAGAUCCUGAAACCGCAUGCAUACAAACAGUGGGAGCCUCAGCAAUGGGGUGACUGCGUACCUUUUGUAUAAUGGGUCAGCGACUUACGUUCAGUAGCGAGCUUAACCGAAUAGGGGAGGCGUAGCGAAAGCGAGUCUGAAUAGGGCGAUUCAGUUGCUGGGCGUAGACCCGAAACCAGAUGAUCUAUCCAUGGCCAGGAUGAAGGUGCCGUAACAGGUACUGGAGGUCCGAACCCACUAGUGUUGAAAAACUAGGGGAUGAGCUGUGGAUAGGGGUGAAAGGCUA
RNAcentral lists this ribosomal RNA (463 nucleotides) under uncultured bacterium. Its description in RNAcentral is "bacterial LSU rRNA". It matches the Rfam family "Bacterial large subunit ribosomal RNA", at positions 366 to 831 of the family's 2925-position model. The record is from RNAcentral.